GAUUAACGCUGGCGGCGUGCCUAACACAUGCAAGUCGAGCGGCAGCGAGUUUUACACUGAAUUCUGGAAGCUUCUAGUUGAAAGAGAAGAUUUAUUCAAGAAUUUUGUGUAAAAUGUCGGCGAGCGGCGGACGGCUGAGUAACGCGUGGGAACGUACCCCAAAGUGAGGGAUAACGCAUCGAAAGGUGUGCUAAUACCGCAUAUGGUCUUCGGAUUAAAGCCUUCGGGCGCUUUGGGAACGGCCUGCGUAAGAUUAGAUAGUUGGUGGGGUAAUGGCCUACCAAGUCGACGAUCUUUAACUGGUUUGAGAGGAUGAUCAGUCAGACUGGAACUGAGACACGGUCCAGACUCCUACGGGAGGCAGCAGUGAGGAAUCUUCCACAAUGGGCGAAAGCCUGAUGGAGCAACGCCGCGUGCAGGAUGAAGGCCUUCGGGUUGUAAACUGCUUUUAUAAGCGAGGAUUAUGACAGUAACUUAUGAAUAAGGAUCGGCUAACUACGU
This 501-nucleotide ribosomal RNA is filed under the name uncultured bacterium. RNAcentral's name for it is "partial 16S ribosomal RNA". It matches the Rfam family "Bacterial small subunit ribosomal RNA", at positions 28 to 506 of the family's 1533-position model. The record is from RNAcentral.